ACUGAGGCAAACAGGUUUCCACUUGCCCCAGGGAUCACCUAGAUAGUUGAGCAAGUGAAUUGGAACUCAGGUCUUUCUGAUUCUAGACCCAGGACUAUAUGUCACUGUGCCAGUAGCUGCCUUGGAAUGAUGGUCAGUACCCCCUGUCCCUCUGAUUGGAGAGGGUGGAAGAUCACUUCAACUCUGAAACUCAGAUCUUCGUGAUCCCUGCCCCCAUGAACCCCUCCCCUCCUUCCCUCUGCUUAGAGGGCAGAUGAACCUGGACAUUGGACAGCUCCUGCCAGUGCCGUCAUUGAAGGAGGGGGCCCAGAGCCAUCUCAUCCUUUUCCAUAUGUUGGCUCUCCUGGACUUCCUCAUCAUAAUAAAUGUUUAUUGACUGCCUGACUGACCCCUGGGGGAGGGCAUCCUCUGGGGGGGUACAAGAAGUGUCCUACCAGGAGGCAGCUACUUCUCCAAUCAACCUUGCCCAUCCAGGUAUUAUGGGAGGAGUCUCAGCAGGCAACGCCACCCAAGAUGAUCGAGUCUGCCAAGGCUGUUCUCUAGGACUACCCUGGGAGUCUCCCGUUCUCCCCAGCGUGCGCCCUGGCGCUACACUCACACUUACUAGCCCCAGUUCCAGGAUUGACUCACCUCCUGUUCAGAUCCCACCGCUUCCUCAAAGAUGCCCCCUUAUUCGACUUCCCAGGAACCCUUUGGAAGAGACGCUGCCAUCAGCUUGUACAAAGAGGCGCCUCCAAGCAGAAUGUAAACUCUUUGAGGGUAGGGACCGGUUUCACUUUUUCUCUGCAUCCGCCUCAAUUGUAUU
This is a non-coding RNA of Monodelphis domestica (gray short-tailed opossum), 805 nucleotides long. The record is from RefSeq and is a predicted model, not a curated record. NCBI's taxonomy places the organism in Eukaryota, Metazoa, Chordata, Mammalia, Didelphimorphia, Didelphidae.